Molecule: ribosomal RNA, 195 nt
Filed under: uncultured bacterium
Lineage: Bacteria
Description: partial 16S ribosomal RNA
Rfam family: Bacterial small subunit ribosomal RNA
Source: RNAcentral
UAAUACGGAGGGUGCGAGCGUUGUCCGGAAUCACUGGGCGUAAAGGGCGCGUAGGCGGCCUGAUAAGUAGGGGGUGAAAUCCUGCGGCUUAACCGCAGGGCUGCCUUCUAAACUGUCAGGCUCGAGCACAGUAGAGGCAGGUGGAAUUCCCGGUGUAGCGGUGGAAUGCGUAGAGAUCGGGAAGAACAUCAGUGG